GCUAAACGCGAAGAACCUUACCUACCCUUGACAUGUCCGGAACCCUGGUGAGAGCCGGGGGUGCCCGAAAGGGAAUCGGAACACAGGUGCUGCAUGGCUGUCGUCAGCUCGUGUCGUGAGAUGUUGGGUUAAGUCCCGCAACGAGCGCAACCCUUGCCACUAAUUGCCAGCGCGUAAUGGCGGGCACUCUAAGGAGACUGCCGGUGAUAAACCGGACGAAGGUGGGGACGACGUCAAGUCAUCAUGGCCCUUACGCCUGGGGCUACACACGUGCUACAAUGGCCGGUACAAAGGGCAGCGAAGCCGCGAGGUGAAGCCAAUCCCAUAAAGCCGGUCGUAGUCCGGAUCGCAGUCUGCAACUCGACUGCGUGAAGUCGGAAUCGCUAGUAAUCGUGGAUCAGCAUGUCACGGUGAAUACGUUCCCGGGUCUUGUACACACCG
This 441-nucleotide ribosomal RNA is filed under the name uncultured bacterium. RNAcentral's name for it is "bacterial SSU rRNA". It matches the Rfam family "Bacterial small subunit ribosomal RNA", at positions 954 to 1392 of the family's 1533-position model. The record is from RNAcentral.